CUCCCGUUUUGACCGCAACCCAUCUCUUUUAUCUUCUUCCUUGGAACUCCAUGAACCAUCCGCCGUCCUUUCCCCGGCGCCGGGCAUCCUUCUGCUUGUCUGACCGGUGUUAUUUUUGCUGCCUCCUCCGCGCGCUGGUCUACUUCUUCACGAUGACUAAUUCGGUACGGCGUCGCCGGAAAUCACCCAGCUUUCAGAGAACUAACUCUGAUGAAGGUGGUAGUCUGGACAUGAGUGAUAGUGAUGUCUCCUCUCAGUCAAAAUCUACAAGGAACAGCCGUAGAACAUCUCCUAAAAAGCUAAAAUCCGAAAUUAAGCAGAGCAUCAAUUGGAGAUGUGAUCCACAGAAGAUACGCGCCUUUAUGAAAGACCUAACUCCUGAACAGCUCAAAUGGAUAGAGGAAUUGGGAUUUGGAUCACUCAUCGAGAUGAUUGACUGCAAGUUACCAAGAAAGCUAACGAUAUGGCUUAUGUCAAAAGUUGACUGUGACAGCAAGUCUCUAGUAUUCAGAAACAGGAAGGUUUCUAUACUAGAAGCUGUUGAAAAUCUCCUCAAGUUACCAGCUCUUGAUAAAGAAGUUCCAAUGCCCAGGCCUGGUAGGGUUCGUGACAAGCCAUUCAGAGGUAAAACUGAAUUCAAGGCUGCUACAGCUGGUAGAGGAGAAUCACUAAACGAAGCGACAGCUAAGAUGUUAACGUACAAGCAGGAAGAAGACAAGGACAACUUUUGCAUAUGUUUCAUGGAAGUCAUUCUUUGCGCGUACUUAGCUCCAACAACAGGUUACCAAAUUAAUAGAAAUUACCUACUUGGAGCUUUGAAGGACUUGAGCGACAUCCCUCGUAUGAAUUGGUGUCGUUUUGCUACUGACUACCUGAUCGAGGGAAUUCGUGAGUCAAGGCAGAACAAAGUCCAGAACCUGAAUAUCGCCGGAUGCAUUCAUAUUCUACAUCUCAUAUAUGUGGAUCUACUAAAAUCAAAUUUAGUCAGCAUACCACAAGGUUACCCAAGGAUAAAAUACGUUGGCUCGCAAGUACUCAAUCAAAUAGAUCCUACUGGGAAAAAGAAGACGAAGGACCAUUGUCAGAUGUUUGAAAACUUCCUGGAUGAUGAAAAGUUAGCAAGGUUCCCACUUGCAGCAGAACCUGUUGAGGAUCUUAAUGAUACCGAAAAAUCAACACAUUCCACACCAACAGUUAGAGUGAAAUUAACUACUUCACCUUGCCAGGACAAACAAACAGUUCCUCCAAAGUUAUUACAAACUUCAAGAAAGUGUCAGGCCGAUAAUUCGACAGAUGAGACCUUGAUCAAACGCAUAAAGAAACUUGAAGAGCACUACAGAGCUGAGCGUCAGAAGUGGUCUACUCUCUUUGAACGCAAGCUUCACGAAAACAUCAAGAACUUGAAGUACAGAAAACCAAGGAAAUCGCAGCAUUGGUCCAGCAACAGAUUGAUAAGGCUCUGUUCCCGAUGAUUGAUAAUGCAGCUGCACCCAGUUCUCAUCACAAUGAUGAUCCAGUUUUGAACAAAGGAUCUAUAGGAAUAGAAAGUCCAUCGCACUCCAAUGUAGAUGACACUUUCCUGGUAUCUACCAAGUCAGCUGAAUUUGAUCACCAAACUAGCAGUCAUGUUGAUGAUAUCCCACAAAUGACAGGACGUACAACAUCAUCUCCAAGAUUCAUGGAUGCAACUGCUAUUCAUGAAUCUGGACUGGCCUCCAAUAUGGUGUUCACUGAAGGUGGAAAAGAUGAAAACUUCAUUCCUGCUUCGUCAUCAGUUGAAGAGAUUACUCAGUACGACCCUUUUGUUCCCCUUCCAUCUACUGAACAAGAUUUUACUCCAACCGAUCAUAUUGUUCAGUCUAAACUUGAUCCUUCUAAAGAUGAAUUUGUGCAAAGAAUUUGCAAUUCUGAAAAUCUGCAGUCUGAAAAACAUGCACCUUCUGCAGUAUGCGUCAAUUUUACAGAAUACACAAAAGAGAAUAUUCCUGCAAAUGGUGUAUCUGCGCCAAACAUAUAUUCAGUCCCAAAUGAGCCAACUCCUUCUAUAAUUACCAACAAUGUGGGUCAACAAGUCCAGUCACAGCCUGGUGAAACUUUGAGAAAUAGCAUGUCAAAUGAAAUGUCAAAUGAAGAUUCAUCAAUGAUGAAGAUUGUUGGUUCUGAGGUUCAACCUGACAUGUCUUCUGUUGUACCUUCUAAUACUAAUAUCAAUGACCCGGCUAAUCCGAAUACAGUUAAUCAGGUAGAUAGUAAUGCAUGUGCUCUUGAAUAUGCAAAUUAGGAAUCAUCACGUAUUGUUUUGCAUGAAGUACCUAGCCAACUCACUACAGAAGAAAUUGGUUAUGUAAUCAAAGAAACUGGCAUAAUUCCUGCAACCUCAACCCAACCUGCAUCUCAAGAAUUAGUUGAUACUCCGUCAGAUAUUCCUGCAUCCGAUGUUAUUCAGAAGCCAUUGGCUGAGCAAUUGGAGAAUCUUCAUCUGACCAAAAAUGACAUUCAAUCAAAGAAUUAUAUCAAAACUGCGCAUACUGAUGCCACUUCAAAAGAGGUUCAAAUUAUAUCUUCCCCACCUUUAUCCCUUGAGAUAGCUGGUGAUGUUUCAAUUAUGUGUGUGAGUCAGAUGAGUAGGGAAUAUGAUAAUAUGAAGGCCCCGGAAAAUAUCACUAUUCAUACAAAAGAACAUACUGGUGCAUCUCCCGUUCCUGGAAUAGAAAGAACUGCAGUUAAUGAGGAGGUUAUUCAACCUCAGCCCAUUGUUACGGAAAGUUUUGCUCAUCCACAGGCCAGCACCUUCGGUUCGGAUGUUUUGCAGAAAGACCAUUCAUACUUACCUGCUGAUAUCCCCAAACCAAGCAGCGAACCAGAAGCUAUCACUUUGCUGGACAAUUUGGUUGAGGCAGAGCACAACAACUCCGGUUUGACUCUUCUUCAAACCCACCAUUCAAACUUACCUGCUGCUCAGUCUAAACCAACAACUGAACCAACACCUAUCACUUUACCAAUAGCUCAAUCAUCACCAAUGGAAUGCCAAGAAAUGGCUCAAUCUGAUAAAGAAGAACUUGACAAGUGUGUCGAAAUGAUUCUCUUUAUGAGUUCGGACAUGCCCAGCAAUAUGAAUGAGAACCAAGAAAUUGCCUCCCAUGGAAUUGAGAACAACUUAGCCCUAAGUCAUCAUAUCAAGGAAGUGCUGACCGAAAACUUAGAACAAUCUUUUGCAUUAGCAGAAAUGCAGACUCAGUGCACUGCAGGAGACGUAGAAUCAUCAUCUUCUAUCAGUACACAAGAAGUCUUUGCAGACCCAUCCCAAAUUGAGCUAACUGGACAAAAUGAACAUGAAUCCGAGGACCAUCCCUCCGACAGUUCAAGUGAAGCUGUAAGCUCUGAGCGCACUGAAGACGAUGAUAUCUCAAAUUUUGGGCAGCAAGUUUCAGACUCACAUACUUGUCGUUUAACUCUAAGACACAACUUGAGAGAUGUACAGAUAGUUGACAUUGCGGAUGAACCUUCAUCUCCUAAAACAAUUGAUUGUAAGCACAUUCGUCAGCUUGAUGAUCCAUUAUCAGACGGAGAAAGUUUUGUUUAUGCUGGUAGCAUCAAUGAAUCCAUGAGGAGUAGAAAACAGCGUUAUCAGAAGAAAUAAGAGAUCGCUGAAGGUAUUUCUGAGCUCAUUAAGAAGAAGAAAUAUCCGGCCAAGAUGUUGAACGACGUUUACAACACUCUUGUCGCCAGAAACAAGUAUAGAGGUUUGCGUUCGACACGUCAUCGUGACGUGAAUGAUACCGGCGGUACAAAGAUAAGGAUAGGUCAAGCUUCUGUAACAGAAAGAGAGUUUGUACAAUGCCUAAUGCCAAAAGGAAAGAUGUGCCAAAACAUGAUGUGGUUAAUGUCUGUUGCAAUGAUGCAUGAUUGGGGAUCAAAGACCAAGGUUAUUUUGGACCAGACAAUUAUAGUAAGUAAUCUUUGUUCUUCAUAUGUUAUUUCCUUUCCAUUAUUAUUAUCUGACCAGUAUGCACUUUCAUUGGACUGAAUUGUUGAAAAAACCUACGAAACGUGGCCACACAUUACUAUGCAAGAAGCUUAGUAAGUUGUCACUUGAAAAUCUUGAGCAGCUAUACCUCCCGACACUAUUUGACAACCAUUGGAUAUUGGUUGUCAUUAACUUCACACAAAAUACAAUUGAAAUUUAUGACUCUAACAAGAAGGUAAAAGAAGGUGAAGACCCACACAAGGUUAUCUUGGACAACAUGUGUACCAAUCUGCAAGAAGCAUUGACUGCUAUUCUCAAUCAGAGUGCUAUCAAUUUUAUCCAUUUCCCAAGGAAGUAUUGCUAUGCUGGAAAGCAAACAAACAAUGAUGACUGCGGUUUCUGGGUUAUUAAAGUCCUAUUGUGUCACAAUGGCAAAGGGCUGGUCGGAAAUUACAAGUGGGAAAUGGAUGUCUUCCGGAAGGAAAUAUGUUACAUACUGGUUUAUCACCGCUUCAAUGAUCUCAACCCAAGAAGGCCUGCGAUCCAGAAGAUAGCAUCCUCCGUCCAGACAAUAGUCGAAUGAUUCCUCAACGGCGUCGUUUCCUGUACUUACCAUCCGCGCCUGGUUGCAACUUAUUUCAUAUGAUGUAGUACUUUAUCAAAAUGAACAAAUUUCAUUCAGUCGAACCGCCGUGAUGUAUGGUACUGAUAAACUUUGUAUGGUUAUUUCCUGCUUUUGGAACAAAAUACUUAUUGCUAUGAUGUAACCAAAUGACAGCUGAACGUUUUGCUGUUUUUAAGUUACUUCCUCUCAAUUUCUCUAUCAUCAGUAUAUUUGUUUUUACAGCUCUCAUUGAACUAUUCCCAAGACCAUUUCUGGUUAACA
Molecule: ribosomal RNA, 4853 nt
Filed under: Triticum aestivum (bread wheat)
Lineage: Eukaryota; Viridiplantae; Streptophyta; Magnoliopsida; Poales; Poaceae
Description: partial small subunit ribosomal RNA
Source: RNAcentral